Molecule: ribosomal RNA, 1371 nt
Filed under: uncultured bacterium
Lineage: Bacteria
Description: bacterial SSU rRNA
Rfam family: Bacterial small subunit ribosomal RNA
Source: RNAcentral
GAUGAACGCUGGCGGCGUGCCUAAUACAUGCAAGUCGAGCGAACGGACGAGAAGCUUGCUUCUCUGAUGUUAGCGGCGGACGGGUGAGUAACACGUGGAUAACCUACCCAUAAGACUGGGAUAACUUCGGGAAACCGGAGCUAAUACCGGAUAAUAUUUUGAACCGCAUGGUUCAAAAGUGAAAGACGGUCUUGCUGUCACUUAUAGAUGGAUCCGCGCUGCAUUAGCUAGUUGGUAAGGUAACGGCUUACCAAGGCAACGAUGCAUAGCCGACCUGAGAGGGUGAUCGGCCACACUGGAACUGAGACACGGUCCAGACUCCUACGGGAGGCAGCAGUAGGGAAUCUUCCGCAAUGGGCGAAAGCCUGACCGAGCAACGCCGCGUGAGUGAUGAAGGUCUUCGGAUCGUGAAACUCUGUUAUUAGGGAAGAACAUAUGUGUAAGUAACUGUGCACAUCUUGACGGUACCUAAUCAGAAAGCCACGGCUAACUACGUGCCAGCAGCCGCGGUAAUACGUAAGUGGCAAGCGUUAUCCGGAAUUAUUGGGCGUAAAGCGCGCGUAGGCGGUUUUUUAGUCUGAUGUGAAAGCCCACGGCUCAACCGUGGAGGGUCAUUGGAAACUGGAAAACUUGAGUGCAGAAGAGGAAAGUGGAAUUCCAUGUGUAGCGGUGAAAUGCGCAGAGAUAUGGAGGAACACCAGUGGCGAAGGCGACUUUCUGGUCUGUAACUGACGCUGAUGUGCGAAAGCGUGGGGAUCAAACAGGAUUAGAUACCCUGGUAGUCCACGCCGUAAACGAUGAGUGCUAAGUGUUAGGGGGUUUCCGCCCCUUAGUGCUGCAGCUAACGCAUUAAGCACUCCGCCUGGGGAGUACGACCGCAAGGUUGAAACUCAAAGGAAUUGACGGGGACCCGCACAAGCGGUGGAGCAUGUGGUUUAAUUCGAAGCAACGCGAAGAACCUUACCAAAUCUUGACAUCCUUUGACAACUCUAGAGAUAGAGCUUUCCCCUUCGGGGGACAAAGUGACAGGUGGUGCAUGGUUGUCGUCAGCUCGUGUCGUGAGAUGUUGGGUUAAGUCCCGCAACGAGCGCAACCCUUAAGCUUAGUUGCCAUCAUUAAGUUGGGCACUCUAAGUUGACUGCCGGUGACAAACCGGAGGAAGGUGGGGAUGACGUCAAAUCAUCAUGCCCCUUAUGAUUUGGGCUACACACGUGCUACAAUGGACAAUACAAAGGGCAGCGAAACCGCGAGGUCAAGCAAAUCCCAUAAAGUUGUUCUCAGUUCGGAUUGUAGUCUGCAACUCGACUACAUGAAGCUGGAAUCGCUAGUAAUCGUAGAUCAGCAUGCUACGGUGAAUACGUUCCCGGGUCU